Arabidopsis thaliana (thale cress) is the source of this 406-nucleotide long non-coding RNA. RefSeq annotates it as other RNA. The record is from RefSeq. Lineage: Eukaryota; Viridiplantae; Streptophyta; Magnoliopsida; Brassicales; Brassicaceae. The transcript has a single exon.
GAUCUCUCUUCAAGCACAUCGCUUGGCUCAAGCACAUCGCUCGACUAUCACAUUCAACAUAAAGCAUAAACCAGAAAUGAGUGAGUAAUGACUAAUUUAUACUCGAUUCCCUUCAAUAGCAAAGCCUCUGUUUCCACCCAAGUCUUUCUCUUCUUCUUUGCCUUUGUCCAUGUCAUCAUUCAAGUCAACAUUCUUCUUCUGACGUGGCAUCAUCCUUACAUGGAUCGUAUCAAUACGCUUGAGGUUGUGUGUUGGUGGUGUUUCUGGAUUUGUGUGUUGCUUUUUAUGGUAGGUCUUGGAAUAAAGACACUUGCUUUUUGUUCAGUUCGAGUUUUGCGUUUUCUAGAAUCCAAAACAAUAUUAGUUCAUAGCUUGAUGAAAUAAUCUAGGCUCCAUUUGUCAUCUC